AUUGAACGCUGGCGGCAUGCUUUACACAUGCAAGUCGGACGGCAGCACAGAGAAGCUUGCUUCUUGGGUGGCGAGUGGCGAACGGGUGAGUAAUAUAUCGGAACGUACCGAGUAAUGGGGGAUAACUAAUCGAAAGAUUAGCUAAUACCGCAUAUUCUCUGAGGAGGAAAGCAGGGGACCUUCGGGCCUUGCGUUAUUCGAGCGGCCGAUAUCUGAUUAGCUAGUUGGUGGGGUAAAGGCCUACCAAGGCGACGAUCAGUAGCGGGUCUGAGAGGAUGAUCCGCCACACUGGGACUGAGACACGGCCCAGACUCCUACGGGAGGCAGCAGUGGGGAAUUUUGGGCAAUGGGCGCAAGCCUGAUCUAGCCAUGCCGCGUGUCUGAAGAAGGCCUUCGGGUUGUAAAGGACUUUUGUCAGGGAAGAAAAGGCUGUUGCUAAUACCGACAGCUGAUGACGGUACCUGAAGAAUAAGCACCGGCUAACUACGUG
This 490-nucleotide ribosomal RNA is filed under the name uncultured bacterium. RNAcentral describes it as "partial 16S ribosomal RNA". It matches the Rfam family "Bacterial small subunit ribosomal RNA", at positions 30 to 507 of the family's 1533-position model. The record is from RNAcentral.